Molecule: ribosomal RNA, 307 nt
Filed under: uncultured eukaryote
Lineage: Eukaryota
Description: partial 18S ribosomal RNA
Rfam family: Eukaryotic small subunit ribosomal RNA
Source: RNAcentral
CCCUUAGACGUUCUGGGCCGCACGCGCGCUACACUGACGAAGGCAACGAGCUUUCCUUUACCGAAAGGUACGGGUAAUCUUUUGAAACUUCGUCGUGCUGGGGAUAGAUCCUUGCAAUUUUUGAUCUUAAACGAGGAAUGCCUAGUAUGCGCAAGUCAUCAACUUGCGUUGAUUACGUCCCUGCCCUUUGUACACACCGCCUGUCGCUACUACCGAUUGAAUGGUUUAGUGAGGCCUUCGGAUCCGCGACUCGUUUGUGGAGAAGUUGGACAAACUCAGUCAUUUAGAGGAAGUAAAAGUCGUAACA